GUGGCGGUCACAGCGAUCCCGGAACAAUGGUGCCUCGGGGAGGGAGGCGCGGGCCAGCUACCGCGCUCUGUCUGGCCACCGCCACCCAGCUCCUCUCCCGGGACCCCUCGGCCGGGGCCGGGAUCUAGCCACACCUUCCCCGGCGUCUGAGGGCGAGUCAGAGGCGAGAAGCCCUUCAGAUGCGAGUUCGAGGGCUGCGAGCGGCGCUUCGCCAACAGCAGCGACCGUAAGAAGCAUUCGCACGUGCACACUAGCGACAAGCCAUACACGUGCAAGGUGCGGGGCUGCGACAAGUGCUACACGCACCCCAGCUCGCUGCGUAAGCACAUGAAGGUGCACGGGCGCUCGCCGCCGCCCAGCUCUGGCUACGAUUCGGCUACACCGUCUGCCCUCGUGUCGCCCUCGUCGGACUGUGGCCACGAGUCCCAGGUGGCCUCCUCGGCGGCGGUGGCGGCGCGUAGCGCCGACUUGAGCGAAUGAUGUCCACCGCGUUGCUCGCAAGGUAAUCUCGCUCCGCGCAGCUGAGCGCCCCGCAUCUCGCGCCUGCUACAUCAAAGGGCCCGCGCACAAAGCAGUGUUUCUUCGCCACGGUGCAUC
RNAcentral lists this small RNA (597 nucleotides) under Pongo abelii (Sumatran orangutan). RNAcentral's name for it is "processed transcript". Lineage: Eukaryota; Metazoa; Chordata; Mammalia; Primates; Hominidae. The record is from RNAcentral.